GACGAACGCUGGCGGCGUGCCUAAUACAUGCAAGUAGAACGCACAGUUUAUACCGUAGCUUGCUACACCAUAGACUGUGAGUUGCGAACGGGUGAGUAACGCGUAGGUAACCUGCCUGGUAGCGGGGGAUAACUAUUGGAAACGAUAGCUAAUACCGCAUAAUAUUGAUUAUUGCAUGAUAAUUGAUUGAAAGAUGCUAUUGCAUCACUACCAGAUGGACCUGCGUUGUAUUAGCUAGUAGGUGAGGUAACGGCUCACCUAGGCGACGAUACAUAGCCGACCUGAGAGGGUGAUCGGCCACACUGGGACUGAGACACGGCCCAGACUCCUACGGGAGGCAGCAGUAGGGAAUCUUCGGCAAUGGACGAAAGUCUGACCGAGCAACGCCGCGUGAGGGAAGAAGGUUUUCGGAUCGUAAAGCUCGGUUGUAAGAGAAGAACGGGUGUGAGAGUGGAAAGUUCACACUGUGACGGUAUCUUACCAGAAAGGGACGGCUAACUACGUG
Molecule: ribosomal RNA, 505 nt
Filed under: uncultured bacterium
Lineage: Bacteria
Description: partial 16S ribosomal RNA
Rfam family: Bacterial small subunit ribosomal RNA
Source: RNAcentral